UAGAGUUUGAUCCUGGCUCAGAUUGAACGCUGGCGGCAUGCCUUACACAUGCAAGUCGAACGGCAGCACGGGUGCUUGCACCUGGUGGCGAGUGGCGAACGGGUGAGUAAUACNNCGGAACAUGUCCAGUAGUGGGGGAUAGCCCGGCGAAAGCCGGAUUAAUACCGCAUACGAUCUACGGAUGAAAGCGGGGGAUCUUCGGACCUCGCGCUAUUGGGGUGGCCGAUGGCGGAUUAGCUAAUUGGUGGGGUAAAGGCCCACCAAGGCGACGAUCCGUAGCUGGUCUGAGAGGACGACCAGCCACACUGGGACUGAGACACGGCCCAGACUCCUACGGGAGGCAGCAGUGGGGAAUUUUGGACAAUGGGCGAAAGCCUGAUCCAGCAAUGCCGCGUGUGUGAAGAAGGCCUUCGGGUUGUAAAGCACUUUUGUCCGGAAAGAAAUCCUUGAUCCUAAUAUGGUCGGGGGAUGACGGUACCGGAAGAAUAAGCACCGGCUAACUACGUGCCAGCAGCCGCGGUAAUACGUAGGGUGCAAGCGUUAAUCGGAAUUACUGGGCGUAAAGCGUGCGCAGGCGGUGAUGCAAGACCGAUGUGAAAUCCCCGGGCUUAACCUGGGAACUGCAUUGGUGACUGCAUCGCUAGAGUAUGGCAGAGGGGGGUAGAAUUCCACGUGUAGCAGUGAAAUGCGUAGAGAUGUGGAGGAAUACCGAUGGCGAAGGCAGCCCCCUGGGUCAAUACUGACGCUCAUGCACGAA
Molecule: ribosomal RNA, 757 nt
Filed under: bacterium enrichment culture clone PF-1_4
Lineage: Bacteria
Description: bacterial SSU rRNA
Rfam family: Bacterial small subunit ribosomal RNA
Source: RNAcentral